RNAcentral lists this ribosomal RNA (571 nucleotides) under fungal endophyte sp. R18_2. RNAcentral describes it as "eukaryotic LSU rRNA". The stretch from base 203 to 356 matches the Rfam family "5.8S ribosomal RNA". Lineage: Eukaryota; Fungi. The record is from RNAcentral.
UGGAAGUAAAAGUCGUAACAAGGUCUCCGUUGGUGAACCAGCGGAGGGAUCAUUACCGAGUUUACAACUCCCAAACCCCUGUGAACAUACCUAUUGUUGCCUCGGCGGAUCAGCCCGGCCCCGGUAAAACGGGACGGCCCGCCAGAGGACCCUAAACUCUGUUUUUAGUGUAACUUCUGAGUAAAACAAACAAAUAAAUCAAAACUUUCAACAACGGAUCUCUUGGUUCUGGCAUCGAUGAAGAACGCAGCAAAAUGCGAUAAGUAAUGUGAAUUGCAGAAUUCAGUGAAUCAUCGAAUCUUUGAACGCACAUUGCGCCCGCCAGUAUUCUGGCGGGCAUGCCUGUUCGAGCGUCAUUUCAACCCUCAAGCACAGCUUGGUGUUGGGAUUCGUAGUUCUGAACUACGGUCCCCAAAUCUAUUGGCGGUCACGUCGAGCUUCCAUAGCGUAGUAAUUACACCUCGUUACUGGUAAUCGUCGCGGCCACGCCGUUAAACCCCAACUUCUGAAYGUUGACCUCGGAUCWUGUAKGAAUACCCGCUGAGCUUCAAGCAUAUCAAUAAUSGGANGA